GGUGUUCAGAACACGAAUGUGAAAAAUCAGACCAGGAAGAUCACGGGAAGAUCACGGGAGGGAGCUCAGGAAGCAUCUGGUUUGCAGAGCAUAGCACAGCAGCUUGUACCUGAGACUUCGACAAAUAUCUGGUGAAUAGAUUGGCUUGCAGAGCACAUUCUGCCUGUAGAGAUGAGUUAGCAAGGCCUGUUCCAGGUACCGAGAAUAUAGCAGCAAACACAGCAGACCAGAGCUCUAUCCUGGUGGAAUUCACAUUCAAGUUCGGGAGAUAGAAAACCAAAAUACAUAGGAAAA
Molecule: long non-coding RNA, 294 nt
Organism: Rhinopithecus roxellana (golden snub-nosed monkey)
Lineage: Eukaryota; Metazoa; Chordata; Mammalia; Primates; Cercopithecidae
Exons: 3
Source: RefSeq, a predicted model, not a curated record